GGUUUGAUCCUGGCUCAGAUUGAAUGCUGCUGGCGGAUGCUUUACAAUAUGCAAGUCGAACGGCAGCACGGACUUCGGUCUGUAGCGAGUGGCGAAACGGCAUAAUAAUGGAACGUGUUCAGAAGCGGGGGGAUAACUACGCGAAAGCGUAGCUAAUACCGCAUACGCCCUUCGGGGAAAGUGGGACCUUUCGCCUGCAAUUAUUAGGGAGCGGCCAGAUAUCGGUUAGCUGGGGUUGGUGGGGUAACGGCUCACUGAAGGCGAUGAUCCGUAGCUGGUUUGAGAGGACGACCAGCCACACUGACCGCGACAUGGCCCAGACUCCUACGGAGGCAGCAGUGGGGAAUUUUGGACAAUGGGGGAAACCCUGAUCCAGCCAUCCCGCGUGUGCGAUGAAGGCCUUCGGGUUGUAAAGCACUUUUGGCAGAAAGAAACGGCACGGGAUAUCACCUCGUAACCGAUCGGUACCUGCAGAAUAAGCACCGGCUAACUACGUGCCAGCAGCCGCGGUAAUACGUAGGGUGCAAGUGUUAAUCGGAAUUACUGGGCGUAAAGCGUGCGCAGGCGGUUCGGAAAGAAAGAUGUGAAAAUCCCAGAGUUUAACUUGGAACCGCAUUUUUAACUACCAGCCAGAGGGCCGAGAGGGAGGUGGAAUUCGCGUAGCAGGAAAUGUAGAUAUGCGGAGGAACACCGAUGGCGAAGGCAGCCUCCUGUGAUAACACUGACGCUCGCGCACGAAAGCGUGGGGAGCAAACAGGAGUCGAUACUCUGGGUAGUCCGCCCUAAACGAUGUCAACUAGCUGUUGGGGCCUUUCGGCCUGUGUAGCGCAGCUAACGCGGUUGACCGCCUAGAGCAUGGUCGCAAAGAUUGAAACGCCAAAGGAAUUGAUUGGGACCCGUAUGCCGGUGGAUGAUGGAUUAAUCGAUGCAAUGAAAACUCAUCAUACCCUUGACAUGUCUGGAAUCCCGAAGUAUCGGGAGUGCUCGCAAGAUAACCCGGAACACAGGCAUGGCUGUCGUCAAUGUCGUGAGAUAAAAGAAGAGUCCCGCAACGAGCGCAACCUUGCUGCUGAAGUUGCUACGAAAGGGCACGAUGAGACUGCCGGUGACAAACCGAGGAAGGUGGACGAUGUCAAGUCCUCUGCGGCUCUUAUGGGUAGGCCAUGACUGGCCGGCGCACAGCCGGUCGGGACAGUGGUCGCUAACCGGCAGAGGGAGCCAAUCCCGAACCCGAUCGUAGUCCGAUCGCAGUCUGCAAUCGACUGCGUGAAGCUUGAAUCAGCGGUAAUCGCGGAUCAGCAUCGCGUGAAUACGUUCCCGGGUCUUGCAAGACACCGCCCGUCACACCAUGGGAGUGGGUUUUACCAGAAGUAGUUAGCCUAACCGUAAGGAGGCGAUUACCACGGUAGGAUUUAUGACUGUGGGUGAAGCCAACAAGGUAA
This 1442-nucleotide ribosomal RNA is filed under the name uncultured Bordetella sp. Its description in RNAcentral is "partial 16S-23S ribosomal RNA intergenic spacer". It matches the Rfam family "Bacterial small subunit ribosomal RNA". The record is from RNAcentral. Lineage: Bacteria; Pseudomonadati; Pseudomonadota; Betaproteobacteria; Burkholderiales; Alcaligenaceae.